GAUGAAGAACGCAGCGAAAUGCGAUAAGUAGUGUGAAUUGCAGAAUUCAGUGAAUCAUCGAAUCUUUGAACGCACAUUGCGCCCUUUGGUAUUCCGAGGGGCAUGCCUGUUCGAGCGUCAUUAUAACCCCUCAAGCUCAGCUUGGUGUUGGGGCCUGCUGCACUGGCAGCCCUUAAAAUCAGUGGCGGCGCCAUCUGGCUCUAAGCGUAGUAAUUCUUCUCGCUAUGGAGUCCUGGUGGAUGCUUGCCAUCAACCCCCAAUUUUUCUAUGGUUGACCUCGGAUCAGGUAGGGAUACCCGCUGAACUUAAGCAUAUCAAUAAGCGGAGGA
RNAcentral lists this unclassified non-coding RNA (329 nucleotides) under soil metagenome. RNAcentral describes it as "partial contains 5.8S ribosomal RNA, internal transcribed spacer 2, and large subunit ribosomal RNA". The stretch from base 1 to 120 matches the Rfam family "5.8S ribosomal RNA", at positions 35 to 154 of the family's 154-position model. The record is from RNAcentral.